RNAcentral lists this ribosomal RNA (489 nucleotides) under uncultured bacterium. RNAcentral's name for it is "partial 16S ribosomal RNA". It matches the Rfam family "Bacterial small subunit ribosomal RNA", at positions 29 to 504 of the family's 1533-position model. The record is from RNAcentral.
AGUGAACGCUGGCGGUAGGCCUAACACAUGCAAGUCGAACGGCAGCACAGUAAGAGCUUGCUCUUACGGGUGGCGAGUGGCGGACGGGUGAGGAAUACAUCGGAAUCUACUUUUUCGUGGGGGAUAACGUAGGGAAACUUACGCUAAUACCGCAUACGACCUACGGGUGAAAGCAGGGGAUCUUCGGACCUUGCGCGAUUGAAUGAGCCGAUGUCGGAUUAGCUAGUUGGCGGGGUAAAGGCCCACCAAGGCGACGAUCCGUAGCUGGUCUGAGAGGAUGAGCAGCCACAGUGGAACGGAGACACGGUCAAGACUCCGACGGGAGGCAGCAGGGGGGAAUAUGGGACGAUGGGCGCAAGCCUGAUCCAGCCAUACCGCGGGGGUGAAGAAGGCCUGCGGGUUGUAAAGCCCUUUUGUUGGGAAAGAAAAGCAGCAGGUUAAUACCCCGCUGUUCUGACGGUACCCAAAGAAUAAGCACCGGCUAACUUC